UCAGGAUAUUGAUUAACUUGUGUAAGGACAAAUAGCUAAUAAGUAACAGAGCUAAGAUGUAAAUCUAGAGACCAUCUGACAAGAAAAAUUCCAUAAACAUUUUGCCACUAUUGCUCCCACAGGAAAAGUGACAUGGCUUAACAUGACAGCUACUGGUCAAAUUUCAUCAUAUUUCUUGCUGUAUUUCCAAACACAGGAAGUUUAUUGAUUAUUCAUUUAGAAGUACUAUUUAUCUAGUGUUUUGGUAUAUGGAGUAAAAUGGAG
This 264-nucleotide long non-coding RNA is filed under the name Pan paniscus (pygmy chimpanzee). RNAcentral describes it as "lncRNA (ENSPPAG00000045051.1)". Lineage: Eukaryota; Metazoa; Chordata; Mammalia; Primates; Hominidae. The record is from RNAcentral.